This 263-nucleotide ribosomal RNA is filed under the name uncultured bacterium. RNAcentral's name for it is "partial 16S ribosomal RNA". It matches the Rfam family "Bacterial small subunit ribosomal RNA", at positions 793 to 1055 of the family's 1533-position model. The record is from RNAcentral.
GUCCACGCCGUAAACGAUGAGUGCUAGUUGUCGGGCGGCAUGCCGUUCGGUGACGCAGCUAACGCAUUAAGCACUCCGCCUGGGGAGUACGGUCGCAAGAUUAAAACUCAAAGGAAUUGACGGGGGCCCCGCACAAGCGGUGGAGCAUGUGGUUUAAUUCGAAGCAACGCGCAGAACCUUACCAGCUUUUGACAUGCCUCGCUAUCUAGAGAGAUCUAGAGUUCCCUUCGGGGACGAGGACACAGGUGCUGCAUGGCUGUCGU